AUGCUGCUGACCGCGGUGUCCCUGAGCGCCGUCGCCACCAACGGGCUGGACCCCGGGGGCGGGGCCCUGGCGCUGCUGUCGGGGGCGCUGGGCCCCGAGGCCGGGGGGGCCGUGGGGGUCUGCGGCUUCCUGAGCUCCGCCCCCGCCGCCGCCGCCGCCGCGCUGCAGGACUGGCUAUGGCCACCACUACUUCCGGGUUCCGUCACUUCAUUCUCCCGCCGAUCAGCGCCGCAAAACUGAGCCUCUUCUAUAAGGCAGCCGGCAGCCAACCUGCCAACACUUACUGACACUCACUCAUCCCAGGGAGUGAGGGAGAGAGGGAGACAAAAUACCUGCCG
Long non-coding RNA from Parus major (Great Tit), 338 nucleotides. RefSeq lists it as uncharacterized. The transcript is spliced from 2 exons. The record is from RefSeq and is a predicted model, not a curated record. Lineage: Eukaryota; Metazoa; Chordata; Aves; Passeriformes; Paridae.